This 461-nucleotide ribosomal RNA is filed under the name uncultured bacterium. Its description in RNAcentral is "SSU rRNA". It matches the Rfam family "Bacterial small subunit ribosomal RNA", at positions 26 to 518 of the family's 1533-position model. The record is from RNAcentral.
AGAAUCAACGCUGGCGGCGUGCCUAACACAUGCAAGUCGCACGAGAAAGGGGAGCAAUCCCUGAGUACAGUGGCGCACGGGUGAGUAACACGUGAAUAAUCUACCUCCGAGUGGGGAAUAACUGGGAGAAAUCUUAGCUAAUACCGCAUAAUACCCACGGGUCAAAGCAGUAAUGCGCUUGGAGAGGAGUUCGCGGCAGAUUAGUUAGUUGGCGGGGUAAUGGCCCACCAAGACGAUGAUCUGUAUCCGGCCUGAGAGGGCGCACGGACACACUGGAACUGAAACACGGUCCAGACUCCUACGGGAGGCAGCAGUGGGGAAUUUUUGCGCAAUGGGGGAAACCCUGACGCAGCAACGCCGCGUGGAGGAUGAAGCCCCUUGGGGUGUAAACUCCUUUCGAUCGGGAAGAUAAUGACGGUACCGAUAUAAGAAGCCCCGGCUAACUUCGCGCCAGCAGCCGC